CCUAAAGGCAAGCCUAUGAUCAGGAGCAAUUCACCUCAGGUGCGUUAGCUCGGACGCCAAAGACUGCUGCGUGUGGCGUUCGGUGGAUCUAUGCUCACUAGACAUAGCAGAAGCAUCCAGGCACCUGUUUGGCCUCAUCAGUAAAGUGUGUGUCCUCGAUUCUUCAAGGAGGACCCUGGCAUGUGUCACUGUUUUUUCCCCUUUCUAAUUAGUAUUUCAAGAGUUUAUAGUUUUUAUUUAUUUAUGAAGUUAAUGGGAUUGUGCAAUUUGUGGGGCUGGCGUUUGCUGUGAUUUUAACCAAAGUGGCUUGUAGUGUUGCCGUGUUUCCAGUGUUCUGUUAAGCAGGCUACUGAUUAUUAAAAUGGUUUGUUUUUAAAUUAUACCAGCCCCACUAACUAGGAUUUCUUGCACAUGCACUUUCCCGUUUCUGUCUUUUGUUUCUUUUAUUCAAAAUAAAUGCAUUGUUUUGAUCCAGUCCUAGCCUCUUGUUCAGUUUAUUCGGAACAU
Long non-coding RNA from Corythoichthys intestinalis (scribbled pipefish), 507 nucleotides. RefSeq lists it as uncharacterized. The transcript is spliced from 3 exons. NCBI's taxonomy places the organism in Eukaryota, Metazoa, Chordata, Actinopteri, Syngnathiformes, Syngnathidae. The record is from RefSeq and is a predicted model, not a curated record.